CUAAUACCGCAUACGCCCUACGGGGGAAAGCAGGGGAUCUUCGGACCUUGCGCUAAUAGAUGAGCCUAAGUCGGAUUAGCUAGUUGGUGGGGUAAAGGCCUACCAAGGCGACGAUCUGUAGCGGGUCUGAGAGGAUGAUCCGCCACACUGGGACUGAGACACGGCCCAGACUCCUACGGGAGGCAGCAGUGGGGAAUAUUGGACAAUGGGGGGAACCCUGAUCCAGCCAUGCCGCGUGUGUGAAGAAGGCCUUUUGGUUGUAAAGCACUUUAAGCGAGGAGGAGGCGCUCUAGGAUAAUACCCUAGAUGCGUGGACGUUACUCGCAGAAUAAGCACCGGCUAACUCUGUGCCAGCAGCCGCGGUAAUACAGAGGGUGCGAGCGUUAAUCGGAUUUACUGGGCGUAAAGCGCGCGUAGGUGGCUAAUUAAGUCAAAUGUGAAAUCCCCGAGCUUAACUUGGGAAUUGCAUUCGAUACUGGUUAGCUAGAGUAUGGGAGAGGAUGGUAGAAUUCCAGGUGUAGCGGUGAAAUGCGUAGAGAUCUGGAGGAAUACCGAUGGCGAAGGCAGCCAUCUGGCCUAAUACUGACACUGAGGUGCGAAAGCAUGGGGAGCAAACAGGAUUAGAUACCCUGGUAGUCCAUGCCGUAAACGAUGUCUACUAGCCGUUGGGGCCUUUGAGGCUUUAGUGGCGCAGCUAACGCGAUAAGUAGACCGCCUGGGGAGUACGGUCGCAAGACUAAAACUCAAAUGAAUUGACGGGGGCCCGCACAAGCGGUGGAGCAUGUGGUUUAAUUCGAUGCAACGCGAAGAACCUUACCUGGCCUUGACAUACAGAGAACUUUCCAGAGAUGGAUUGGUGCCUUCGGGAACUCUGAUACAGGUGCUGCAUGGCUGUCGUCAGCUCGUGUCGUGAGAUGUUGGGUUAAGUCCCGCAACGAGCGCAACCCUUUUCCUUACUUGCCAGCAUUUCGGAUGGGAACUUUAAGGAUACUGCCAGUGACAAACUGGAGGAAGGCGGGGACGACGUCAAGUCAUCAUGGCCCUUACGGCCAGGGCUACACACGUGCUACAAUGGUCGGUACAAAGGGUUGCUACACAGCGAUGUGAUGCUAAUCUCAAAAAGCCGAUCGUAGUCCGGAUUGGAGUCUGCAACUCGACUCCAUGAAGUCGGAAUCGCUAGUAA
This 1183-nucleotide ribosomal RNA is filed under the name Acinetobacter lwoffii. Its description in RNAcentral is "bacterial SSU rRNA". It matches the Rfam family "Bacterial small subunit ribosomal RNA", at positions 163 to 1341 of the family's 1533-position model. The record is from RNAcentral. Lineage: Bacteria; Pseudomonadati; Pseudomonadota; Gammaproteobacteria; Moraxellales; Moraxellaceae.